Molecule: ribosomal RNA, 736 nt
Filed under: uncultured Chitinophagaceae bacterium
Lineage: Bacteria; Pseudomonadati; Bacteroidota; Chitinophagia; Chitinophagales; Chitinophagaceae
Description: bacterial SSU rRNA
Rfam family: Bacterial small subunit ribosomal RNA
Source: RNAcentral
ACCGGCAAACGGGUGCGGAACACGUACACAACCUUCCUAUAAGUGGGGAAUAGCCCAGAGAAAUUUGGAUUAAUACCCCGUAACGUAACGAUGUGGCAUCACAUUGUUAUUAUAGCUUCGGCGCUUAUUGAUGGGUGUGCGGCUGAUUAGAUAGUUGGCGGGGUAACGGCCCACCAAGUCUACGAUCAGUAGCUGAUGUGAGAGCAUGAUCAGCCACACGGGCACUGAGACACGGGCCCGACUCCUACGGGAGGCAGCAGUAAGGAAUAUUGGUCAAUGGACGCAAGUCUGAACCAGCCAUGCCGCGUGAAGGAUUAAGGUCCUCUGGAUUGUAAACUUCUUUUAUCUGGGACGAAAAAAGGCUUUUCUAAGUCACUUGACGGUACCAGAUGAAUAAGCACCGGCUAACUCCGUGCCAGCAGCCGCGGUAAUACGGAGGGUGCAAGCGUUAUCCGGAUUCACUGGGUUUAAAGGGUGCGUAGGCGGGCAGGUAAGUCAGUGGUGAAAUCCUGGAGCUUAACUCCAGAACUGCCAUUGAUACUAUCUGUCUUGAAUAUUGUGGAGGUAAGCGGAAUAUGUCAUGUAGCGGUGAAAUGCUUAGAUAUGACAUAGAACACCUAUUGCGAAGGCAGCUUACUACGCAUAUAUUGACGCUGAGGCACGAAAGCGUGGGGAUCAAACAGGAUUAGAUACCCUGGUAGUCCACGCCCUAAACGAUGGAUACUCGACAUACGCG